AACAUGGUGUCUUUAGACACCACACUAUAUUUUUGAAAAAUUAUUU
Picea glauca (white spruce) is the source of this 46-nucleotide non-coding RNA. NCBI's taxonomy places the organism in Eukaryota, Viridiplantae, Streptophyta, Pinopsida, Pinales, Pinaceae. The record is from Rfam.